ACUCACAUUUCUAAUUUCUUGACAAAGACAAAAACUUUGUCUUCUGAUCAACCUAAACACCAUUUCUGAAAUCGUGUGUCAGAGACAGACCUCAGGCACAAUUUCUGGUCAAAUUUUAAGAAUUUUCCAUUGACAAAAUAACCCCAAGUCCUCCACGGCGCACGCCAGAGCCCUCCUGGUCGGCAGGGACAAGACUCAGCCCAGGCUGCCGCGCUGAGCGCCCGUCCCUGCGCUGGGGGCAGACCCCAGCCUGCCGCCAAGACUGGGAAAAAUCCCCAAAUCGCCAAAGAUCGACCAAAUGUCACAAUUUCACAACGGGGGAAGAAAGACCGAGACGAGGUCAGCGACUCACCUAGGACGGUCAGGGUGGUCCCGGACCCGAAUAUACCACACAUACUGCUGCUGUCGUAGCCACCACAGUAAUAGACAGCCUCGUCCUCGGCUUGGACCCCAUUGAUGGUUAAUGUGGCCGUGGAGCCGGAUAUGGAACCGGAGAAUCGUGAAGGGAUGUUUGAGGGUCUGUUGGUGUUGGUAUAGAUCACAGUGACAGGGGCACUGCCAGGUGCCUUCUGCUGGUACCAGCCAUAGUUGUUGAUAAUCAGAUUCUGAUU
This is a long non-coding RNA of Tympanuchus pallidicinctus (lesser prairie-chicken), 611 nucleotides long. RefSeq lists it as uncharacterized. The transcript is spliced from 3 exons. The record is from RefSeq and is a predicted model, not a curated record. NCBI's taxonomy places the organism in Eukaryota, Metazoa, Chordata, Aves, Galliformes, Phasianidae.